Cinara cedri is the source of this 270-nucleotide non-coding RNA. The record is from the annotation of a GenBank genome assembly. Lineage: Eukaryota; Metazoa; Arthropoda; Insecta; Hemiptera; Aphididae.
GGUGGUCAUUGAUGUCGACGAGGGGCCCGUGUCGGGUUUACUCCGUGUCAGUAUAUCCAGCCAUAUUGUAUUUUUCUCGCAUUACCCAACUGAUAUUAUUUGAAAUUAUAUAAUUUUUAUGUGUACGCUGUAUACACUUAUUCGGUUUAUUGCGGUAGUUAUUAUGACUAUGAUAUUAUAAUUAUUAUUAAAUAGAGUAGUUAAUCGAUUACUCGACUUGACUCGACAACUUAUUUCUUUCAAUAGUGCUACAUUCGACUACUUGACUUA